GCUCUUAUCAAAAUAGAAUAACUUAACCAAAGAUAAAUACAGAAGUGGCACCAACCCUCUAACCUGAUGUGUCUAGACAGAAGUGAUCUACAUGUAG
Molecule: long non-coding RNA, 97 nt
Organism: Sphaeramia orbicularis (orbiculate cardinalfish)
Lineage: Eukaryota; Metazoa; Chordata; Actinopteri; Kurtiformes; Apogonidae
Exons: 3
Source: RefSeq, a predicted model, not a curated record